Molecule: ribosomal RNA, 336 nt
Filed under: uncultured Bacillota bacterium
Lineage: Bacteria; Bacillati; Bacillota
Description: bacterial SSU rRNA
Rfam family: Bacterial small subunit ribosomal RNA
Source: RNAcentral
GACGAACGCUGGCGGCGUGCCUAAUACAUGCAAGUCGUGCGGACCGACGAAGAGCUUGCUCUUUGGAGGUCAGCGGCGGACGGGUGAGUAACACGUGGGCAACCUGCCCGCAAGACCGGGAUAACUCCGGGAAACCGGGGCUAAUACCGGAUGAUGCCUUACUCCGCAUGGAGGAAGGCUGAAAGACGGCUUCGGCUGUCACUUGCGGAUGGGCCCGCGGCGCAUUUAGCUGGUUGGUGAGGUAACGGCUCACCAAGGCGACGAUGCGUAGCCGACCUGAGAGGGUGAUCGGCCACACUGGGACUGAGACACGGCCCAGACUCCUACGGGAGGCAG